CACGUCUGCCUGGGUGUCACGC
RNAcentral lists this non-coding RNA (22 nucleotides) under Gossypium hirsutum (cotton). The record is from RNAcentral. Lineage: Eukaryota; Viridiplantae; Streptophyta; Magnoliopsida; Malvales; Malvaceae.